AGCAGCCGCGGUAAUUCCAGCUCCAAUAGCGUAUAUUAAAGUUGUUGCAGUUAAAAAGCUCGUAGUUGAAUUUCGGGAUCGAAUUGUUGGUCGUGCCUCGGUACGCACUGGCAUUAUCGGUUCCUACCUUCUGAAGAACCGCGAUGUCAUUAAUUUGGUGUCGUGGGGAAUCAGGACUGUUACUUUGAAAAAAUUAGAGUGUUUAAAGCAGGCUUACGCUUGAAUACAUUAGCAUGGAAUAAUGAAAUAGGACGUUUGAUUCUAUUUUGUUGGCUUCUAGGAUCGACGUAAUGAUUAAUAGGGAUAGUUGGGGGCAUUAGUAUUCAAUUGUCAGAGGUGAAAUUCUUGGAUUUAUUGAAGACUAACUACUGCGAAAGCAUUUGCCAAGGAUGUUUUCAUUAAUCAAGAACGAAAGUUAGGGGAUCGAAGACGAUCAGAUACCGUCGUAGUCUUAACCAUAAACUAUGCCGACUAGGGAUCGGAUGAUGUUAAUUUUAUAAUGACUC
RNAcentral lists this ribosomal RNA (506 nucleotides) under uncultured Glomeromycotina. Its description in RNAcentral is "SSU rRNA". It matches the Rfam family "Eukaryotic small subunit ribosomal RNA", at positions 569 to 1077 of the family's 1831-position model. Lineage: Eukaryota; Fungi; Glomeromycota. The record is from RNAcentral.